This 3422-nucleotide unclassified non-coding RNA is filed under the name Hevea brasiliensis (rubber tree). Lineage: Eukaryota; Viridiplantae; Streptophyta; Magnoliopsida; Malpighiales; Euphorbiaceae. The record is from RNAcentral.
CGAUGAUGUGUUGGGGGAGUUGGGGUAAAGGGAAAUCAGAAAUUGCUCAUUGAAGAAGCAAUUUAUUGAUGAACAUAGAUGGGGAAGAGCAGCUUUGGACGUUAAAUUUGGAACUUAGAACAUAUAUGGAGAAAACGUUAAAAAGACAUGCUCAUGAAUAUGAAACGUUGCACAAUUAUUCUAAUAUGAAGCAUUACUUCUGCAUUUACUAAGUUCUUCUCCCAAUGCCCCUAAAUUUUUUUGGUCUUCUCACCCUUUUGUAUUGUUUUCCUUCAACCAUCCUCACAAACCAUUGUGGUUUUCCUGUUGCAAAUAUGAUAUAUCCCAUAGACAAUCCAAACACUAGCCCACAUCCAUAGCCCAUCAAUGCAAUUUUCCAAUCAUACCAGCAGUCUGUAGAAUCUCCUUCUUCUUGAAAUCUUGGUGAAGGUAAUUGGGGUGCCUCACCAUUGUUGCAUUUCUUUGAUAGUGGAAAUCCACACAAACCGAUGUUCCCUAUGUAGGAAUCAUUUGAAAAUGUGUUGAAUUGGUUACCUUGAGGAAUGGUUCCAUUGAGUUGGUUAUAUGAAAGAUUCAACACAGCAAGAAAUGUUAAAACUGUUAGUUGUUGAGGAAUUUCUCCAACAAGUCUGUUUUCGGAGAGGUCUAGUGAUUCAACCUCUGUCAAGUUUGCAAGCGAUGAUGGGAUAUGACCUGUUAGAUAAUUGUGAGAAAAGUUGAGCACCACCAGAGACUUCAACAUACCAACUUCUUCAGGAAUGUGUCCUUGAAAUCUAUUAUUUGAAAAAUCAAUGGCUGUGAAAAUGGUUAGUAUUUCAUUCAUUUCAAGCUCCACCCCUUUCAUUAUCAGAUCCACUGCUAAAGAAUCUUGAAAAUAAUAUGCGCUGUCCCCCGCAUAUUUUGAUCCAGCUUUAUCUUCAUUCACCUUCAUCAAAUAUUUCAGGUGCCGUAGAUACUUUGUAGGUAGAAGUCCAGUGAGUUCAUUGUGAGAGAGAUCAAGAAUUUGCAACUUGGGAAAAGGAGAUUUAGUAAUGGGAUUUCCUAUGGCACCAUGGAAGCUAUUGGAUCGCAAGAUAAGAAUUUGCAGGUCUAGAAGAUGUUGCAACCAAUGGGGAAAUGUGUCAUUUAACUUGUUGUUCCCCAAAUCCAAUAUUUGCAGCCUCCUGCAAUUCGCUAGAGAUCUUGGUAAUGGCCCUUCGAAUUUGUUGCCAUUAGCGUUCAGAUACACUAAACUACUAUCAUGUGCAAAUAUUUCAGGGAUUCUACCAAAGAAGUUAUUACCCUGCAAAUUCAAGAUAAAGAGAAAUUUAGCAAUGUCCUCUAAACAUUUUGGAAGCAAGCCUUCAAAAUCAUUGUUAGCCAAAUCAAGCGCCACAAGAGAACUCAAAUUGCAAACCAAGGAAGGGAUCUCUCCACUCAAUUGAUUGUUUGAAAUCAAGAAAAUCUCGGUCGAAUUUGGUGGUACUGGAAGUGGUCCUUUGAGGAAGUUGAAACUCAAGUCCAGAGUUCUAAUGUUGCUCCAUGGAUAUUGCUCUAUUCCAGUCAAGAAGUUGUGAGAGAGACUUAGAGUACUUAAACUUUCCCAUCCGAUUGACUUUUGCUUGGUAAUCUUGCCAUAAAUUCUAUUAUGAGAAAGAUCUAAAUAGCUCAAAUUCUCUAAGGUUUUCAAGAAAUGUGGGAAUUUUGUUAUGUUGCAAGAAGAAAGAGCCAAUGAGAAAAGGUAGGGCAAAGUAAAGUUGACAUUGCUGCUACUUCUCAAUGAUAGUUCACUGUUCCAUGAAAGAUCAAGUUGCACAAGAUUUUUGAGCUUUUGAAACAUGUUCCACUCAAUAAUGCCACUCAGGUUAUUAGAGGAAAGAAAAAGACUCUUAAGGUUCACAAGUUCAAAAAUCGAACUUGGAAUCGGGCCAUGUAACUCAUUAUCACUCAAAUCAACAUCGAGAAGAGAAAAUUGCAACUGACCGCUGAAAUUGCAGGAAGAUGGGUUUAGCAAGUCUGAUUUGCUAGGUUUAGCAAAAAUAUCAGGAAUCUGCCCAGAAAAUUGGUUGGACUUCAAAGCCAAGAAUUUGAGUUUCUCAAUCUUACCAAGUGAUGGUGGUAUAUAGCCAGAGAAAUUGUUGAAGGAGAGAUCCAAGUACUCCAAAGACUUGAGAUUGCCAAAUGCUGCUGGAAUGGAGCCAGAAAAAUUGGCGAAUGAGACAUCCAGGUACUUCAAGGACUCGAGAUUGACAAGUGCUGCUGGCAUCGAGCCAGAAAAAUUGGUGAAUGAGAAAUCUAAGUACUUCAAGGACUUGAGAUCGCCAAGUGAUGUUGGUAUUAAGCUAAAGAAAUUGUUGAAUGAAAGAUCCAAGUACUCCAAGGACAUGAGAUUGCCCACUGUUGCUGGAAUUGAGCCAAAGAAAUUGUUGUUUGAAAAAUCGAAGUGCUUCACGGACUCAAGAUUGCCAAGUGAUGCUGGAAUUGAACCAAAGAAACGGUUGAAUGAGAGAUCUAAGUACUCCAAUGACAGGAGAUUGAUUAUCGAAUCUGAAAGCUCUCCUGACGAACUCAUCUCAUGGAUAUCUAAGAACCUUAAUGAAGCAGACAAUUUAGCUUCUGAAAUAUUAAUGACCAAAUCAAAGUUGGACGAAAUGUCGAGUACCUCAAGGGACUGAAAGUGCAAAAAAUCUCCUGGUAAAUUCCCCUGCAAAAAACAAUUUGAGAGAUGAAGAGAUUUCAAAGAAGAAGAAAGGUUCAACAAAGAUUUAGGUGCAACCAAAGACAUAUCUACAUAACGUAGAUCCAGAACAAUCAAUUUCGUAAGGUUUCUCGAUAGUUUUUCAAAUCCAUGAUUGUGAAAUUUCAGGAUUUUAUCAGAGUCAGAAUUGAAAGACAAAUCAAGUGAAACCAAUUUGGACAGGCGGGAAAUUUCAGGAGGAAUUUGGCCUGAGAAUAAACAACUGGAGAGAUUAAGGUGCGUCAAAUUUGCGAAUAAACCAAACCCAGAUGAUAUAGAACCACUGAGACGACUCCAAGCGAGGUUGAGCUUCUGGAGGUGUGGCAAGAGAAAAAGGGUACUGGUGGGAGUGAUGGUGCCAUAAAGCGCAUGGCAGCUAAGGUCCAUGCCAAUCACAUGACCUGUCAACCUAUCACAUGUGAUACCAUCCCAAGAGCAGCAAUCUGUAGCCUCCACCCAAGUCUUAUUCAGAGGGUGUGCCUUGUCACAAAAGGAAUAAUAAGAAUCAUCAUCUUCAAUGAUUAGUGAAUCCUUGAAUUUAAGCAAGGCUGAUCUCUCAUUUGGAUGGCAGCUUUUUGCUAAAGAUGAUGAACAAUGUUGCUGAAAAUGCAAGAAGGAGAAGAACAAGAGGUGUUGAAGAUAGCAGGGCCAUGGAAGUUUCAUAUCCAACUAUCCAAUGCUCUAUAAGGGGAAAACAAGUUUUUUU